Small nucleolar RNA from Suricata suricatta (meerkat), 143 nucleotides. NCBI's taxonomy places the organism in Eukaryota, Metazoa, Chordata, Mammalia, Carnivora, Herpestidae. The record is from Ensembl.
AUCCAAGGUGAUUCUGUCUCCAAAAGGCCUGCUCAUGCCUCUUUUCAAGAAAUUAGUAACUUGGAAUAAAAUCUGACGUGCCUUAGGUUGUUGGGGGGAAUGGGAUGUUUGUUUCCUUUGCCUUCCUUUGGCUGUCUACAUGC